CCCUUAGAUGUCCUGGGCCGCACGCGCGCUACACUGACAUGUUCAACAAGCCUCCUAGUUCGACAGGAUUUGGGAAAUCUUUGAACGCAUGUCGUGAUAGGGAUAGAUCAUUGCAAUUAUUGAUCUUGAACGAGGAAUUCCUAGUAGACGCGAGUCAUCAGCUCGCAUUGAUUACGUCCCUGCCCUUUGUACACACCGCCCGUCGCACCUACCGAUUGAAUGUUUCGGUGAAGAUUCCGGAUAGGACUUUUUUGAUUUAUUUCAAUUUUGUCUUAAAAGCUAUCUAAACCUCAACAUUUAGAGGAAGGUGAAGUCGUAACA
RNAcentral lists this ribosomal RNA (321 nucleotides) under uncultured eukaryote. Its description in RNAcentral is "partial 18S ribosomal RNA". It matches the Rfam family "Eukaryotic small subunit ribosomal RNA", at positions 1470 to 1796 of the family's 1831-position model. The record is from RNAcentral.